This is a non-coding RNA of Chelonoidis abingdonii (Abingdon island giant tortoise), 93 nucleotides long. Lineage: Eukaryota; Metazoa; Chordata; Testudines; Testudinidae. The record is from RefSeq and is a predicted model, not a curated record.
UGCAAUGUCAAAAUUGAGUUCAUUCAGAACUCCUGGGUAAAUAUCAUCUGGCUCUGGUGACUUAUUUCUGUUUAAUUCUUCAAUUUAUUCCAA